This is a non-coding RNA of Brassica napus (rape), 187 nucleotides long. Lineage: Eukaryota; Viridiplantae; Streptophyta; Magnoliopsida; Brassicales; Brassicaceae. The record is from Rfam.
AUACCUUUCUCGGCCUUUUGGCUAAGAUCAAGUGUAGUAUCUGUUCUUAUCAGUUUAAUAUCUGAUAUGUGGUUCAUCGGGCCACACGAUAUUAACUCUAUUUUUUUAGGGCGAAAACCUACUUGCUAUUUGAGUUUUUGUUAGUCGCCCAUGCGUUGCACUAUUGCACGGAAUUGGCUCAACCCAC